UGACCAAGGGGCCGGGCUGUUCUGAUUGUUGCAGGAUCGGAGUGGCCUAGGGGUACAGGGAGUACCUCCAGCAAUGGGCCGGGUCAGGCAAGGC
Non-coding RNA from Pseudomonas putida W619, 94 nucleotides. NCBI's taxonomy places the organism in Bacteria, Pseudomonadati, Pseudomonadota, Gammaproteobacteria, Pseudomonadales, Pseudomonadaceae. The record is from Rfam.